RNAcentral lists this ribosomal RNA (356 nucleotides) under Rhammatocerus viatorius. RNAcentral's name for it is "partial 12S ribosomal RNA". Lineage: Eukaryota; Metazoa; Arthropoda; Insecta; Orthoptera; Acrididae. The record is from RNAcentral.
UUUAAGCGUUAAUUUUACUUACCUGGGUACUAUUAGUUAAGAUCUUUAAACCCAAAGAAUUUGGCGGUAUCUCAUUCCAUUCAGAGGAACCUACCCCGUAAUUGAUAAUACACGAUUAACUUUACUUAAUUUAUUUGUUUGUAUAUCUCCGUUAUCAGAAAAUCUUUUUGGAGUUAUAAUUUUCUUGAUUCAUAAUUGUGAAUUAUUUCAGGUCAAGGUGCAGCUUAUAAUUAAGUGGAGGUGGGUUACAAUAAAUUUAUAUUUAUUACGGAUUUUUUGCUGUAAUUUAAAAAUAAAGGUGGAUUUGAUAGUAAUUUAAUUUAUUUAAUUUAUUUGAUAUUGGCUCUGAGGUGUGU